This is a long non-coding RNA of Brassica napus (rape), 1855 nucleotides long. RefSeq lists it as uncharacterized. The record is from RefSeq and is a predicted model, not a curated record. NCBI's taxonomy places the organism in Eukaryota, Viridiplantae, Streptophyta, Magnoliopsida, Brassicales, Brassicaceae. The transcript has 3 exons.
UCUGCCACGUCAGAAAAUAGAAGCACCAAAAGACGACAUGUGUCACCUUUCCUAAACAUUGCGUUUAAUUUAUAGGUGAUUGUCAUUUUUUGGGCUUCGUUUUGUGGGCUUUAUAUAUUACACAAGCGGCUAUACCCAUAUAGAGAAACCCUUAUCUUCUUCUUCUAUCUCCCACUAUUAAUCUCCGACAUUCAAGAGCUUGAGAUGCUGAAGUCGACGUGAAGAAUCUCUUCGUUGGGUUUCUUUCUGAUUUCGAUACUUUCAUGUGAAGCUUUAGUCGACAAGCCAUAAAAACUCUUUUAGUUCAGGCCCACAUACAAAGUAUGGUUGACUGGGUAUAAAGCAUAACCUCUUUCCCUCAAUUCAGUCCAGUGACCAAUGUAGUCAAUCAAUUCAUCCCACCUUUUUCCUCAUCAAUCAAGAUUUCUCACCUCCCCUCAUCAACCAGAGCUACUGCAUAUAUAUGGUGUCAAGGUGCUCAAGAUAAUUCAUGAAGUUUCUUCAAACAGAGAAAGUCGUUUUAAGGGAAACAGAGGAGUCAGGAGAGAAUUGACGGCGUCGUCUUCAUUUCAUCCGCCUGCGGUGGCAAAACCCAGAUCGUUAAUUACCGUUAAAUCCCUGGUAUGAUCAUCCAAUCGUAAUACUGCUUUCCUAUAUGUUUUUAGGAAUUAUAGAGAUUCAUAUUUCGCAAAAAUAUGUGGAUUAGAGAUAGAGAUUUGAAAGAGUUGGAGUUUCUUAUUUUGAUGAGAUUCAAACUAGCAUGUUAAAAUCCAGAUGAAAGGUGUUUUUUUUAUGGCUGAAGUUACAUGUAGAAUUGAUGUUUUUGAUGAAUAGAAAGAAGAUUACAAAGAAGAUUACAAGCUGAGGCUUAAAGAUUUCAAGUCAUAUGUAUAGAUCAUACUCGCAUUUCACCUUUGAAAACCUUUUGGUUGCUCUCAUCUCAAAGCUGAUGAGUUCUAUAAGGUUCCUUGCUUAACCUAAACUACUUAACAAAUCUGACAUUUUUAUGUUGUACAGAUUGGAUUUUGAACCUGCGCCAGCACCGUGCAUGUGCAUUAGCUUCACCGACAUGCACAUGCUUAAUGUUUUUCGUGGUCAAGGCCGGUAGAUUAAUUCAGGUUUCAAUAAUAUUUAAAACACUGCAUAUAAAUAAACACAUAUUCGAAUAUGAAUGUUCUGCUUAUAAGGGUUUGAUGAUCUUUGGAAUCUAUCAUGGAAUUGAUCGCGACAAUGAUGGUAUGUAUAUGGUUUUAAAGUAGAGUAGCUUCCUUCAAUUUAAAUGAAUCUGAGAAAAAUAUUAUGGGCUAGAUCUUGAAGAUAUAUAAUGGGCAUAUGUCUAUUUUUAUUGUGCAGCUUAGAAGAGAAGUAUUGAAUAUUAUCAUAGAGUCGUAGUUCAUGAGAUUUUGCUGCCACGAAGAAUAUAGAGUUCUCACAUGUAAGACGCCAACGAAAACUAUAACAUCACUGAGGAAGCUAGAGAGCUUGAAAAGCAACUCAGACAACCCACUAAGGAGAAGAAUGAAGCUGUGCGAGGCCAAGAAUUUGAGAAGGCUGAAAGUAUGACCAGAACUAGAACUUAGUGACGAGAUAGCUGUUGUUUUAGUCAAAGGCAAAGAAGUGAGCAAAGCUGAGACUGAAGCUGGAAAAGCAGGACCUACUGUCACUGAAUCCGACAUCCAACACAUCAUGUAAUGUCCCCGAUUCUGGAUAGGAUUGUCCGGACGGACUGCGGUGCGUGGAAAUGCACCAGUAUGGUCAUAUGGCCCAAAGACAAGCGUGUCAUAGCCUGGAAGUAAGGUUAAGGGCAUCAGGAAGCUAAGGCAUAGCUAAUCCAAGAAGGAGACAAGCUCAAAGG